This 253-nucleotide ribosomal RNA is filed under the name uncultured bacterium. RNAcentral describes it as "partial 16S ribosomal RNA". It matches the Rfam family "Bacterial small subunit ribosomal RNA", at positions 524 to 776 of the family's 1533-position model. The record is from RNAcentral.
UACGGAGGGUGCAAGCGUUGUUCGGAUUUAUUGGGCGUAAAGCGUGCGUAGGCGGUUGGCUAAGUCAGAUGUGAAAGCCCUGGGCUCAACCUGGGAAUGGCAUUUGAAACUGGCGAGCUAGAGUGUGAUAGAGGAUGGCGGAAUUCCCGGUGUAGCGGUGAAAUGCGUAGAGAUGUGGAGGAACACCGAUGGCGAAGGCAGCCUUCUGGGCCAAUACUGACGCUCAUGCACGAAAGCGUGGGGAGCAAACAGG